CACAACAAACACCAUAAUAAUUAAAAAAAAAAAAAAAUCGCAAGUAAUCACAAUAUUAUGUCAAUAUUGGGCUACUCUUUUGGAAGGUAUUUUCUUCUACCCCCCACCCUCCAAAAAAAAAAGGCACAUACAGUAUGUAACAAAGGAAAAUAGCCACUUUUAAGCUUUUAAAGUAAAUCCAAGUGGCCAACAGUGUUUCAAUGUAUAUCAGAAACAUGCAAGUAGACCUGAGAAAAGCAUCCCUGGAAUGCAGAUCCAUACACAGGUGUUAGAUCAACUCUGUAAUAGUUUUGUUGUUGCCAAAAGAGGGCCUGCAUAAACAAAAAUAUAUCACAAGUAAAAAACUAUUACUUAUUCGGAAUGGUCUACUUAAACAAUAUGAAAAGUUUUCUGCAAUUGCAGCAUUAUGCAUACAGCAAUAAGAAAGUUCCACUAUGUUAACUUCUUUAAAUCAUUGCACUCCUUCAAUGAAGUGUACAGGUGACAAGAAUGAAGUUGGUCCAGAAAAACUUCAACAUAAUUGUUUCAAAUACAUACCUUAUUAGCAAUUUCAAUAAAUAAAUAUUCAUCGCUGAAAGGUGCCACAUGUAUUCUGCAAGAGAAUGCAACUUCAACUCAAUAGUAUCUAAAAUAACAUAUUAAUAAUUUGGAUGUGCAAAUACUAGAAGCACAAGAAAUACUGAUAGAGUAAGGCACUUAAAUCAAGUGGAGGAAAUGGAAAUAUGCAAUUAUACUAAGAACAGAAGGAUUACAGUAAUGAAUUACAGCAAUUCCUCACUAUCCUCUCUUGCUCUCAAUACAAGUUUAUUCAAAAGAAACUAUCCAAGUCUCACAAAAAACCUGGCCCAGCAACUAUGCCGAAAUAAGAAGAGCCAAGCCCUCACCAGCAGAAAGAAUUCUGCCCCCAGGAAAUAAAACUAAUUUUUCUUCCUCUGCUCAUCCAUUUCUUCCUCAAUUUAUACACCUCUUUUUCCACUUUACAGCUGUCAUCACAUGCUCCCAGCACCUCAUCCUUUCCGUUACAAAUUCUUCUAUAAUUUUCUAGAAUUCUCCAGGCUCUCCUCCACAUCCCUAUCAAAUACAGAUAAAAAAAAAUCCUAAUAAUGCAUAAGCCAGCCAUAGGAUUAUACCAACUGGAUUGGGAUCAGGGCUUAGUUGAGUUGAGAACAAACGCCAACCACAUGUAAAAUCACUGGGACAAGCGGCAGAUGCAUGCAUCUAAUCAUAUAGAUUAUGGAACAAAUAACAUGCGUUUAAAACCUGGUGUUGACAAGUACAUAUCAUAGAACAAAACAUUAAAUUUUCACUUUAGUUGUCAAGAAAAAAAAACCCAAAGUACAUUUCAUAAGAUUAUCAUGUGUAGUUAAGGAAUAACCAGCAUUAAAUAAUAUCACUGUCACAAAGCAUCUUGCAUGAGAAUAAAAAAACCUGAGUUAAGAUCAUGACUAAAAUAGUCACACUGGACUUCUAGGCAAGUCAGUGACAAUACGUCCAAGAUCAAGGAAAGCAAGAUUCAAAGAGGGAGCAUUUGAAGAAUAACACUUACCUUCCAACUGUAGGGAACAUUUUUCCAUUAGGGAGAAGAAACCGAUCUCUGGCAAUUACGUAGGACUCUAACAUUCUUUCAUUGACCAAUAAGGUGCCCAUUGGUUCAGAGAUCAGAAUAUCUGCUUUCUCCGGCAAUUCAACUUCCUCGACUUUACCCUUUAUUACCGUAAUCCUUUCACCCAGUGAUGGGUUCCCAGCAAUUAGUCUGCGAGCAUAUUCUGCCAUUUCAGAUGCUUCCACAGCAUAAACAUGCUUCGCACCAGCCUGAGCAGCAAAUAAAGACAAAAUACCACUACCAGCACCAACAUCAACAACAACACGACCAAAAAAAUCUGCACGGUUCUCAAUGACAGCAGCAUAAUAGGUUCCUGUCCUCACAUAAUCCUGUAGCAUAUUUUGUUGAUGUAGCAGUUGUCCAUAAUAAUGAAAAUACAUUUUAGCAGAUGAUGCCUCUAUUUUAUAAUCAAACUUGCUUUUAUGAGCUGUGACUGCUCCAUUUGGUAAAGUUAUUCCUCUUUACUAGUAUCAGAUGCUAAAUCUUCAUAUAUGCAAACUGACCGAUCAGGUCCUAGCUUGAAUAACUGAGCAGUACUAAGAUCGACGUCAAUAAAAUCAGUAGCGUCAGACUCGGAAAGAAAUCGAAGCUCCACUACUCCAUUAUCGGCGCUAUACCUAGCAACCACUGGAGAAGCUAAACAAGAAGAAGAAGAAGGAUAUAGCUCAGUUAUUGAUGCCAAAGCCAACUGUUGUUGUUUUUUCAGUUUUUGGCCUGCUGAAACCUCCAUUACUGCCUCCAACAAGCUCAAUCCCUAAGAUUUAAAUAUAGAGAGAAAGAUCUAUAUACUUGAGAGCCUAACUACGGGCAAGGGUGUGUGUAAAGCAUUUACAGUGAGUGAAAUUAGGCUUUGCAAAAAGCGCCAAACUUGAGAGUGAGUGAGGGGCUUAGGACCGCUACAGAGAGAACAGGAUACUAACUUGGCCUUCUAUAACCCAACUGUUUCUAUAAAUUAGUUUCUUUUAUUAAGAGCUUGGGUUCAGAUUCAGUCCUUUUAAGCGGCGAAAUUUUUCUUAAUCUUGAUUUUUGACAUUGUAAUUUCUUCCAAUGAAGAGGGAGAUGAAUGUGAGCCGUCUGACUAGUUUUGAUCGUGGGACCAUGAGUGAUGGGUGGGUUAGUAGUCUACUUUGCCUCAAGUGGGGGAGUGGAUGCAUUCACUAUACAAUUGACCAUGUGGGAAAGCUGCAAUUGGAAGGGUUUAUGGAGGAGGGUUCAUCUGCUCCUCACAUUCACAUAUUUAAAGGUCCAUAUUAUUCCAAGCUUUGUGUCAAAUUCUUCAUGUUUAGAUGGAAGAAAGAAGCUCGCUUUUCUACAA
This 2918-nucleotide unclassified non-coding RNA is filed under the name Hevea brasiliensis (rubber tree). Lineage: Eukaryota; Viridiplantae; Streptophyta; Magnoliopsida; Malpighiales; Euphorbiaceae. The record is from RNAcentral.